GUAGGGUGCGAGCGUUAAUCGGAAUUACUGGGCGUAAAGCGUGCGCAGGCGGAUUGUUAAGCAAGACGUGAAAUCCCCGGGCUUAACCUGGGAAUGGCGUUUUGAACUGGCAGUCUAGAGUGCGUCAGAGGGGGGUGGAAUUCCACGUGUAGCAGUGAAAUGCGUAGAGAUGUGGAGGAACACCGAUGGCGAAGGCAGCCCCCUGGGAUGACACUGACGCUCAUGUACGAAAGCGUGGGUAGCAAACAGGAUUAGAUACCCUGGUAGUCCACGCCCUAAACGAUGUCAACUGGUUGUUGGGGGAGUGAAAUCCCUUAGUAACGAAGCUAACGCGUGAAGUUGACCGCCUGGGGAGUACGGUCGCAAGAUUAAA
Molecule: ribosomal RNA, 373 nt
Filed under: uncultured bacterium
Lineage: Bacteria
Description: bacterial SSU rRNA
Rfam family: Bacterial small subunit ribosomal RNA
Source: RNAcentral